GGGCAGUGGAAUUGGGUGGAGAAGAAAGAUGGAGGAGGUGUUGCAGGAGAGAGUCAAAAUGGAAAGAGAGAUUGGUAGAAGUCGGAGGAGGUGUAGGUAGUUUUGCUGAGCUGAAUUUCAGAGGUGGGUUUGGUUGUGGUGGUCUGUUCUUUGGGAUAGAAUACACGGGUUUGUUCGGGAAGAGAGUACCUUCCAUCGCAUGAACCC
RNAcentral lists this unclassified non-coding RNA (207 nucleotides) under Hevea brasiliensis (rubber tree). The record is from RNAcentral. Lineage: Eukaryota; Viridiplantae; Streptophyta; Magnoliopsida; Malpighiales; Euphorbiaceae.